This 1333-nucleotide ribosomal RNA is filed under the name Flavobacterium columnare. RNAcentral's name for it is "bacterial SSU rRNA". It matches the Rfam family "Bacterial small subunit ribosomal RNA", at positions 70 to 1411 of the family's 1533-position model. The record is from RNAcentral. Lineage: Bacteria; Pseudomonadati; Bacteroidota; Flavobacteriia; Flavobacteriales; Flavobacteriaceae.
UAGAAGGAGCUUGCUCCUUUGAGACCGGCGCACGGGUGCGUAACGCGUAUGCAAUCUACCUUGUACAGGGGGAUAGCCCAGAGAAAUUUGGAUUAAUACCCCAUAGUAUUAUUAAAUGGCAUCAUUUAAUUAUUAAAGUUCCAACGGUACAAGAUGAGCAUGCUCCCAUUAGCUAGUUGGUGUGGUAACGGCACACCAAGGCAACGAUGGGUAGGGGUCCUGAGAGGGAGAUCCCCCACACUGGUACUGAGACACGGACCAGACUCCUACGGGAGGCAGCAGUGAGGAAUAUUGGUCAAUGGACGCAAGUCUGAACCAGCCAUGCCGCGUGCAGGAUGACGGUCCUAUGGAUUGUAAACUGCUUUUGUACAGGAAGAAACACUCCCUUGCGAGGGAACUUGACGGUACUGUAAGAAUAAGGAUCGGCUAACUCCGUGCCAGCAGCCGCGGUAAUACGGAGGAUCCAAGCGUUAUCCGGAAUCAUUGGGUUUAAAGGGUCCGUAGGCGGUUUUAUAAGUCAGUGGUGAAAUCUGGUCGCUCAACGAUCAAACGGCCAUUGAUACUGUAAGACUUGAAUUACUUGGAAGUAACUAGAAUAUGUAGUGUAGCGGUGAAAUGCUUAGAGAUUACAUGGAAUACCAAUUGCGAAGGCAGGUUACUACGAGUACAUUGACGCUGAUGGACGAAAGCGUGGGGAGCGAACAGGAUUAGAUACCCUGGUAGUCCACGCCGUAAACGAUGGAUACUAGCUGUUUGGAGCAAUCUGAGUGGCUAAGCGAAAGUGAUAAGUAUCCCACCUGGGGAGUACGCUCGCAAGAGUGAAACUCAAAGGAAUUGACGGGGGCCCGCACAAGCGGAGGAGCAUGUGGUUUAAUUCGAUGAUACGCGAGGAACCUUACCAAGGCUUAAAUGGGAAACGACAGAUUUGGAAACAGAUCUUUCUUCGGACGUUUUUCAAGGUGCUGCAUGGUUGUCGUCAGCUCGUGCCGUGAGGUGUCAGGUUAAGUCCUAUAACGAGCGCAACCCCUGUUGCUAGUUGCCAGCGAGUCAAGUCGGGAACUCUAGCAAGACUGCCGGUGCAAACCGUGAGGAAGGUGGGGAUGACGUCAAAUCAUCACGGCCCUUACGCCUUGGGCUACACACGUGCUACAAUGGACGGUACAGAGAGCAGCCACUACGCAAGUAGGCGCGAAUCUACAAAACCGUUCUCAGUUCGGAUCGGAGUCUGCAACUCGACUCCGUGAAGCUGGAUUCGCUAGUAAUCGCAGAUCAGCCAUGCUGCGGUGAAUACGUUCCCGGGCCUUGUACACACCGCCCGUCAAGCCAUGGAAGC